RNAcentral lists this unclassified non-coding RNA (40 nucleotides) under Herpetomonas samuelpessoai. Lineage: Eukaryota; Euglenozoa; Kinetoplastea; Trypanosomatida; Trypanosomatidae. The record is from RNAcentral.
AACUAACGCUAUUAUUGUUACAGUUUCUGUACUUUAUUGG